ACCGGUUUGGCUCAGUAGAUAGAGCGUCGGCCUGUGGACUGAAAGGUCUCGGGUUCGAUUCCGGAAGCGGUU
Molecule: transfer RNA, 72 nt
Filed under: Myotis davidii
Lineage: Eukaryota; Metazoa; Chordata; Mammalia; Chiroptera; Vespertilionidae
Rfam family: tRNA
About the family: Transfer RNA (tRNA) molecules are approximately 80 nucleotides in length. Their secondary structure includes four short double-helical elements and three loops (D, anti-codon, and T loops). Further hydrogen bonds mediate the characteristic L-shaped molecular structure. tRNAs have two regions of fundamental functional importance: the anti-codon, which is responsible for specific mRNA codon recognition, and the 3' end, to which the tRNAs corresponding amino acid is attached (by aminoacyl-tRNA synthetases). tRNAs cope with the degeneracy of the genetic code in two manners: having more than one tRNA (with a specific anti-codon) for a particular amino acid; and 'wobble' base-pairing, i.e. permitting non-standard base-pairing at the 3rd anti-codon position.
Source: Rfam by way of RNAcentral